AGACUGAUCCAUGCAGAGAUAAUUAACGAUCUUCUCAGCAGCUGUUCCUCUCAGAUAGUUUGUCAGUGAGACAGAGUCUGGAUUACCAGGAUGCAGCGCCUGCGGAGCGGACUCGGGUAGAAAGUGUUGAGCUGGUGCUCCCGCCUCAUGCCAAUCACCAGGUCAGCACAUUUGGUGGACAAAUCAUGGCCUGUUUGGAGAACGUAGCCACCAUCUCUGCCAGUCGUUUGUGUAAUGCUCACCCAACUCUGCGGAGCAUAGACAUGUUCCACUUUCGCGGACCAUCCCACAUUGGAGACAGGCUUGUGUUGAAGGCAAUCGUAAACAAUGCUUUUUUAAGAAAAGGUACA
Molecule: long non-coding RNA, 350 nt
Organism: Carassius carassius (crucian carp)
Lineage: Eukaryota; Metazoa; Chordata; Actinopteri; Cypriniformes; Cyprinidae
Exons: 3
Source: RefSeq, a predicted model, not a curated record